Molecule: ribosomal RNA, 425 nt
Filed under: uncultured archaeon
Lineage: Archaea
Description: bacterial SSU rRNA
Rfam family: Archaeal small subunit ribosomal RNA
Source: RNAcentral
CGGGGGAGUACUGCCAGACUUGGAACCGGGAGAGGUAAGAGGUACUACAGGGGUAGGAGUGAAAUCUUGUAAUCCCUGUGGGACCACCUGUGGCGAAGGCGUCUUACCAGAACGGGUUCGACGGUGAGGACGAAAGCUGGGGGCACGAACCGGAUUAGAUACCCGGGUAGUCCCAGCCGUAAACGAUGCUCGCUAGGUGUCAGGCAUGGCGCGACCGUGUCUGGUGCCGCAGGGAAGCCGUGAAGCGAGCCACCUGGGAAGUACGGCCGCAAGGCUGAAACUUAAAGGAAUUGGCGGGGGAGCACAACAACGGGUGGAGCCCUGCGGUUUAAUUGGACUCAACGCCGGACAACUCACCGGGGGCGACAGCAAUAUGUAGGCCAAGCUGAAGACUUUUGCCUGAAUCGCUGAGUAGAGGUGCAUGG